GACGAACGCUGGCGGCGUGCUUAACACAUGCAAGUCGAACGGAAAGGCCUGCAGCUUGCUGCGGGUACUCGAGUGGCGAACGGGUGAGUAACACGUGGGUGAUCUGCCUUGCACUUCGGGAUAAGCUUGGGAAACUGGGUCUAAUACCGGAUAGGACAGCUGUUUAGUGUCAGUUGUGGAAAGUUUUUUCGGUGCAAGAUGAGCUCGCGGCCUAUCAGCUUGUUGGUGGGGUAAUGGCCUACCAAGGCGUCGACGGGUAGCCGGCCUGAGAGGGUGUACGGCCACAUUGGGACUGAGAUACGGCCCAGACUCCUACGGGAGGCAGCAGUGGGGAAUAUUGCACAAUGGGCGGAAGCCUGAUGCAGCGACGCCGCGUGGGGGAUGAAGGCCUUCGGGUUGUAAACUCCUUUCGACAGGGACGAAGCGUAAGUGACGGUACCUGUAUAAGAAGCACCGGCUAACUACGUGCCAGCAGCCGCGGUAAUACGUAGGGUGCGAGCGUUGUCCGGAAUUACUGGGCGUAAAGAGCUCGUAGGUGGUUUGUCGCGUCGUCCGUGAAAUUCCGGGGCUUAACUCCGGGCGUGCAGGCGAUACGGGCUGACUUGAGUGCUGUAGGGGAGACUGGAAUUCCUGGUGUAGCGGUGAAAUGCGCAGAUAUCAGGAGGAACACCGAUGGCGAAGGCAGGUCUCUGGGCAGUAACUGACGCUGAGGAGCGAAAGCAUGGGUAGCGAACAGG
Molecule: ribosomal RNA, 737 nt
Filed under: uncultured Corynebacterium sp.
Lineage: Bacteria; Bacillati; Actinomycetota; Actinomycetes; Mycobacteriales; Corynebacteriaceae
Description: bacterial SSU rRNA
Rfam family: Bacterial small subunit ribosomal RNA
Source: RNAcentral